GCUUACGGCCAUACCACCCUGAACACGCCCGAUCUCGUCUGAUCUCGGAAGCUAAGCAGGGUCGGGCCUGGUUAGUACUGGAUGGAGAC
Molecule: ribosomal RNA, 89 nt
Filed under: Merluccius bilinearis (silver hake)
Lineage: Eukaryota; Metazoa; Chordata; Actinopteri; Gadiformes; Merlucciidae
Also listed under: 1 other name
Source: RNAcentral